AUACGGAAGGUCCGGGCGUUAUCCGGAUUUAUUGGGUUUAAAGGGAGCGCAGGCGGAGAUGCAAGCGUGACGUCAAAUUUCGGGGCUCAACCCCGUCUCGCGUCGCGAACUGCGUCCCUUGGUUGCGGGAAGGGGAGGCGGAACUCGUGGUGUAGCGGUGAAAUGCAUAGGUAUCACGAAGAACUCCGAUCGCGAAGGCAGCCUUCCGGCCCGUCAACGACGCUCAUGCUCGAAGGUGCGGGUAUCAAACAGGAUUAGAUACCCUGGUAGUCCGCACAGUAAACGAUGGACACCCGCGGUUUGGCCUAUAUGGCUGAGCCGCCAAGCGAAAGCGUUAAGUGUCCCACCUGGGGAGUACGCCGGCAACGGUGAAACUCAAAUGAAUUGACGGGG
This 393-nucleotide ribosomal RNA is filed under the name uncultured bacterium. RNAcentral's name for it is "partial 16S ribosomal RNA". It matches the Rfam family "Bacterial small subunit ribosomal RNA", at positions 523 to 918 of the family's 1533-position model. The record is from RNAcentral.